GCAUUGGUGGUUCAGUGGUAGAAUUUUCUCCUUCCAUGCAGGAGACCUGGGCUCAAUUCUUGGCCAAUGCA
RNAcentral lists this transfer RNA (71 nucleotides) under Loxodonta africana (African savanna elephant). It matches the Rfam family "tRNA". From Rfam's summary of the family: Transfer RNA (tRNA) molecules are approximately 80 nucleotides in length. Their secondary structure includes four short double-helical elements and three loops (D, anti-codon, and T loops). Lineage: Eukaryota; Metazoa; Chordata; Mammalia; Proboscidea; Elephantidae. The record is from Rfam by way of RNAcentral.